RNAcentral lists this ribosomal RNA (254 nucleotides) under uncultured bacterium. RNAcentral describes it as "partial 16S ribosomal RNA". It matches the Rfam family "Bacterial small subunit ribosomal RNA", at positions 524 to 776 of the family's 1533-position model. The record is from RNAcentral.
UACGUAGGGUGCAAGCGUUGUCCGGAAUUAUUGGGCGUAAAGAGCUCGUAGGCGGUUCGUCGCGUCGGCUGUGAAAUCCCGAGGCUCAACCUCGGGUCUGCAGUCGAUACGGGCGGACUGGAGUUCGGCAGGGGAGACGUGGAAUUCCUGGUGUAGCGGUGAAAUGCGCAGAUAUCAGGAGGAACACCGGUGGCGAAGGCGGGUCUCUGGGCCGAUACUGACGCUGAGGAGCGAAAGCGUGGGGAGCGAACAGG